CUACGGGGGCUGCAGUGGGGAAUAUUGGACAAUGGGCGAAAGCCUGAUCCAGCCAUGCCGCGUGUGUGAAGAAGGCCUUCGGGUUGUAAAGCACUUUCAGUGGGGAAGAAAGCCUUGGGGCUAAUACCCUCGAGGAAGGACAUCACCCACAGAAGAAGCACCGGCUAACUCCGUGCCAGCAGCCGCGGUAAUACGGAGGGUGCGAGCGUUAAUCGGAAUUACUGGGCGUAAAGCGCGCGUAGGCGGUCUGAUAAGCCGGUUGUGAAAGCCCCGGGCUCAACCUGGGAACGGCAUCCGGAACUGUCAGGCUAGAGUGCAGGAGAGGAAGGUAGAAUUCCCGGUGUAGCGGUGAAAUGCGUAGAGAUCGGGAGGAAUACCAGUGGCGAAGGCGGUCUUCUGGACUGACACUGACGCUGAGGUGCGAAAGCGUGGGUAGCAAACAGGAUUAGAUACCCGUGUAGUC
Molecule: ribosomal RNA, 463 nt
Filed under: Vreelandella stevensii
Lineage: Bacteria; Pseudomonadati; Pseudomonadota; Gammaproteobacteria; Oceanospirillales; Halomonadaceae
Description: partial 16S ribosomal RNA
Rfam family: Bacterial small subunit ribosomal RNA
Source: RNAcentral